GAAGCGCUGACGCAGCAACGCCGCGUGAGUGAUGAAGGCCCUCGGGUCGUAAAGCUCUGUCGGGAGGGAAGAAAUGAUUUAGGGUUAAUACCCCUUGAUCUUGACGGUACCUCCGAAGGAAGCACCGGCUAACUCCGUGCCAGCAGCCGCGGUAUAUAA
RNAcentral lists this ribosomal RNA (159 nucleotides) under uncultured bacterium. Its description in RNAcentral is "partial 16S ribosomal RNA". It matches the Rfam family "Bacterial small subunit ribosomal RNA", at positions 377 to 525 of the family's 1533-position model. The record is from RNAcentral.